UUCCUAGUGGCUCAAACAGUAAAGAAUCUGCCUGCAAUGCAGGAGACCGGGUUUGAUUCCUGGCUUGGGAA
This 71-nucleotide transfer RNA is filed under the name Ovis aries (sheep). It matches the Rfam family "tRNA". From Rfam's summary of the family: Transfer RNA (tRNA) molecules are approximately 80 nucleotides in length. Their secondary structure includes four short double-helical elements and three loops (D, anti-codon, and T loops). The record is from Rfam by way of RNAcentral. Lineage: Eukaryota; Metazoa; Chordata; Mammalia; Artiodactyla; Bovidae.